Molecule: ribosomal RNA, 483 nt
Filed under: uncultured bacterium
Lineage: Bacteria
Description: bacterial SSU rRNA
Rfam family: Bacterial small subunit ribosomal RNA
Source: RNAcentral
GAUCCUGGCUCAGGAUGAACGCUGGCGGCGUGCCUAACACAUGCAAGUCGAACGGAAACAAAGCGCUUCGGAGACUUCGGUCAAUGUUUGCUUUGUUUUAGUGGCGGACGGGUGAGUAACGCGUGGAUAACCUGCCAUAUACAGGGGGAUAACAGUUAGAAAUGACUGCUAAUACCGCAUAAGCGCACGGGACCGCAUGAUCCUGUGUGAAAAACUCCGGUGGUAUAUGAUGGAUCCGCGUUUUAUUAGCUAGUUGGCGGGGUAACAGCCCACCAAGGCGACGAUCAGUAGCCGGCCUGAGAGGGUGAACGGCCACAUUGGGACUGAGACACGGCCCAAACUCCUACGGGAGGCAGCAGUGGGGGAUAUUGCACAAUGGGGGAAACCCUGAUGCAGCGACGCCGCGUGAGUGAAGAAGUAUUUCGGUAUGUAAAGCUCUAUCAGCAGGAAGAUAAUGACGUACCUGACUAAGAGCACCGGCUA